Molecule: ribosomal RNA, 550 nt
Filed under: uncultured bacterium
Lineage: Bacteria
Description: bacterial SSU rRNA
Rfam family: Bacterial small subunit ribosomal RNA
Source: RNAcentral
UAGGGAAUCUUCCGCAAUGGGCGAAAGCCUGACGGAGCAACGCCGUGUGAGUGAAGAAGGAUUUCGGUUCGUAAAGCUCUGUUGUUAGGGAAGAAUGAUUGUGUAGUAACUAUACAUAGUAGAGACGGUACCUAACCAGAAAGCCACGGCUAACUACGUGCCAGCAGCCGCGGUAAUACGUAGGUGGCAAGCGUUGUCCGGAAUUAUUGGGCGUAAAGCGCGCGCAGGUGGUUUAAUAAGUCUGAUGUGAAAGCCCACGGCUCAACCGUGGAGGGUCAUUGGAAACUGUUAAACUUGAGUGCAGAAGGGGAGAGUGGAAUUCCAUGUGUAGCGGUGAAAUGCGUAGAUAUAUGGAGGAACACCGGUGGCGAAAGCGGCUCUCUGGUCUGUAACUGACGCUGAGGCUCGAAAGCGUGGGGAGCAAACAGGAUUAGAUACCCUGGUAGUCCACGCCGUAAACGAUGAGUGCUAGGUGUUGGGUCCUUUCCGGGACUCAGUGCCGCAGCUAACGCAUUAAGCACUCCGCCUGGGGAGUACGACCGCAAGGUUG